This 253-nucleotide ribosomal RNA is filed under the name uncultured bacterium. RNAcentral describes it as "partial 16S ribosomal RNA". It matches the Rfam family "Bacterial small subunit ribosomal RNA", at positions 524 to 776 of the family's 1533-position model. The record is from RNAcentral.
UACGUAGGGGGCGAGCGUUGUUCGGAAUUACUGGGCGUAAAGCGCACGUAGGCGGCUUUGUAAGUUAGAGGUGAAAGCCCGGGGCUCAACUCCGGAACUGCCUUUAAGACUGCAUCGCUUGAAUCCAGGAGAGGUGAGUGGAAUUCCGAGUGUAGAGGUGAAAUUCGUAGAUAUUCGGAAGAACACCAGUGGCGAAGGCGGCUCACUGGACUGGUAUUGACGCUGAGGCGCGAAAGCUAGGGGAGCAAACGGG